RNAcentral lists this microRNA precursor (208 nucleotides) under Oryza nivara. Its description in RNAcentral is "MIR812 microRNA precursor family". It matches the Rfam family "MIR812 microRNA precursor family". Lineage: Eukaryota; Viridiplantae; Streptophyta; Magnoliopsida; Poales; Poaceae. The record is from Rfam by way of RNAcentral.
AAAAAAGACAACCCUCGGUUUCCGUGUCCAACGUUUGACAAUCCAUCUUAUUUGAAAAAAAUUAUGAAAAAAAUUAAAAAGACAAGUCAUGCAUAAAGUAUUAAUCAUGUUUUAUCAUCUAACAACAAUGAAAACACUAAUUAUAAAAAAAUUUCAUAUAAGACGGACGGUCAAACGUUGGACACGGAAACCCAGGGUUUGUCUUUUU